GACGUAGGGGGCAAGCGUUGUCCGGAAUUAUUGGGCGUAAAGGGCGCGUAGGCGGCCAUUCAAGUCGGACGUGAAAUCCCUCGGCUCAACCGGGGAACUGCGUCCGAUACUGUCUGGCUCGAGUCCUGGAGAGGGUAGUGGAAUUCCCAGUGUAGCGGUGAAAUGCGUAGAUACUGGGAGGAACACCGGUGGCGAAGGCGGCUACCUGGACAGGUACUGACGCUGAUGCGCGAAAGCUAGGGGAGCAAACAGG
Molecule: ribosomal RNA, 253 nt
Filed under: uncultured bacterium
Lineage: Bacteria
Description: partial 16S ribosomal RNA
Rfam family: Bacterial small subunit ribosomal RNA
Source: RNAcentral